UUGAUUACGUCCCUGCCCUUUGUACACACCGCCCGUCGCUACUACCGAUUGAAUGGCUCAGUGAGGCGUCCGGACUGGCCCAGAGAGGUGGGCAACUACCACUCAGGGCCGGAAAGCUCUCCAAACUCGGUCAUUUAGAGGAAGUAAAAGUCGUAACAAGGUCUCCGUUGGUGAACCAGCGGAGGGAUCAUUA
RNAcentral lists this ribosomal RNA (193 nucleotides) under Metarhizium rileyi. RNAcentral's name for it is "partial 18S ribosomal RNA". It matches the Rfam family "Eukaryotic small subunit ribosomal RNA", at positions 1641 to 1831 of the family's 1831-position model. Lineage: Eukaryota; Fungi; Ascomycota; Sordariomycetes; Hypocreales; Clavicipitaceae. The record is from RNAcentral.